RNAcentral lists this transfer RNA (71 nucleotides) under Camelus bactrianus (Bactrian camel). It matches the Rfam family "tRNA". From Rfam's summary of the family: Transfer RNA (tRNA) molecules are approximately 80 nucleotides in length. Their secondary structure includes four short double-helical elements and three loops (D, anti-codon, and T loops). RNAcentral also lists the same sequence under 2 other names. The record is from Rfam by way of RNAcentral. Lineage: Eukaryota; Metazoa; Chordata; Mammalia; Artiodactyla; Camelidae.
CGGGAUAUAGCUCAGUGGUAGAGUGCAUGCUUAGCAUGCAGAGGUCCUGAGUUCAAUUCCUAGUACCUCCA